This 469-nucleotide ribosomal RNA is filed under the name uncultured bacterium. Its description in RNAcentral is "bacterial SSU rRNA". It matches the Rfam family "Bacterial small subunit ribosomal RNA", at positions 355 to 825 of the family's 1533-position model. The record is from RNAcentral.
UAGGGAAUAUUGGACAAUGGGUGAGAGCCUGAUCCAGCCAUGCCGCGUGCAGGAAGAAGGCGUUAUGCGUUGUAAACUGCUUUUUGCCAGGGGAUAAAAAGACCGUGCGCGGUUAAUUGAAGGUACCUGGUGAAUAAGCCACGGCUAACUACGUGCCAGCAGCCGCGGUAAUACGUAGGUGGCAAGCGUUGUCCGGAUUUAUUGGGUUUAAAGGGUGCGUAGGUGGCCCUGUAAGUCAGUGGUGAAAUAUCUCAGCUUAACUGAGAGGGUGCCAUUGAUACUGCAGGGAUUGAGUACAGAUGAGGUAGGCGGGAAUUGACGGUGUAGCGGUGAAAUGACAUAGAUAUCGUCAAGAACACCGAUAGCGAAGGCAGCUUACCAAGCUGUAACUGACACUGAGGCACGAAAGUGUGGGGAUCAAACAGGAUUAGAUACCCUCGUAGUCCCUGAGCGGGCUGGCAAGGCGCAU